This 78-nucleotide transfer RNA is filed under the name Robiginitomaculum sp. Its description in RNAcentral is "tRNA-Phe". Lineage: Bacteria; Pseudomonadati; Pseudomonadota; Alphaproteobacteria; Maricaulales; Robiginitomaculaceae. The record is from RNAcentral.
GUCGGUGUAGCUCAGUUGGUAGAGCGAACAGGCUAAAAACCUGUUAGGUCAUUUGUUCGAGUCAAAUCACCGGCUCAA